Molecule: long non-coding RNA, 1417 nt
Organism: Leopardus geoffroyi (Geoffroy's cat)
Lineage: Eukaryota; Metazoa; Chordata; Mammalia; Carnivora; Felidae
Exons: 2
Source: RefSeq, a predicted model, not a curated record
AAAAUGUUGGUUAAAGCAAAAAAAAAAAAAAAAAAAAAAAAUUUUUUUUUUUUUUAAUGACCCAUACAUUCUAUUUUAGUUAGGAUUCAUUUUUGCUGCAAGCAACAGAAACACAAAAUAACAGCAACCUAAACAAGAUAGAAGGUUAUUACUUUUUCAAGUGAAAAGUCUAGCAGUUGGUGAUCCAGAGUUAUUAUGGCCCCCCAAAACAUCCUGGGUGUAGAUGCCUUCUUUAUCUUCUUGUGUGGCCACCAAUGACCUUUAUUCCCAGUUUCAGUUCUAGCAAUCAUGCCUCCAUUGCAAAAGCAAAGAAGAAAAGGAGGAAGACAAAGGUAUACUCAAACCCAUGACGUUUUCCUAGAGCUGCACACACCAUUCUCCUUUCAUUUCAUCCUCAGAAAUGCUGAGAUGGUAACACUUAGCUAGCUACAAGGCUAAUGGAAAACAUUGACUACUUCAGGCAAUCAUGUGCCCAACUCAAAAUCAGAUUUUUUCAUAUUUAUCUUUUCCUCAGACUAUAACUUAUCCGUGUGCACCACCCUGAACAGAGCUUUGCAUACAUUAGGUUUUCAGUAACCGACUGAAUGGCUAAUGCAGACGCUAGACAAUGUCCCCUUCACAUGAAGUGACCUUUUGGUUCAACUUGAUAUAAACGUUCACAAAAUUUGAAAUUACUGAGCUCUGCCAUCAAGAAAAAUACUCUCUAAUACCUGAUCGAAUAUCAGUGGACAGUUAAUAUUGUAAAUGCUACUGGUCCCAGACACACUGACAAAUCCAGGUAAUCAGGGUUAAAUUACAUCUGCAAAGCAGGUAGCAAAUCAUAGUACUCAGAUUCCUAGUAUGCCAUGGCAUGAUGAGAAUUCUAGGAGGCUUUGGGUUCACUAGAAUAUUGACUUAAAUUUAGAAUAUAUGGACUAUCAACCUAUUUGAUUGCCCUAAGGGAUAGCUUAAGUCUAAGAAGUGCCUGGUGAUGCUCUCUGUUCCCUGGAAUAUACAUCAAAGGACCAUUUAAAAGACUGUAAAAUCUUACCCAGAUUAUAUCGACCUGCUAAUUUGGUAUCUUCUUUUCUCUCCUGCCUCAAGCAAUUUACCCUUAUUCUUUUUCAACCCAUAAGAGGAUCUGUGUAUUCUACAUUCUUCAAGACCUGGAAGCUUAUCUAUACAUAUAGAUAAGAUCUCAUAAAGCGUAAGGUGGUGUAACCUAAGGUGCUGGAGGAGGGAGUCAGUAGAUACCUUAGAAUGGCCCCUUUCAUCCUGAUCACAAGGAGUGGGACAUUAACAUGGAUCUAUGCUCUUCUCCAGCAGCUGGACCCAGGGUAACUUCUGAGAAAUGCUGACCUCUGCACUGACUUUAUGCAGAGAUGAAAGAAAUGUGUGUGCGUCUUAAAAGCAGUGAUUAAAGAUUUGUCCGACUUUC